AGGUUGAUAGGCUUCAGGUGUAAGUGUGGUAACGCACUCAGCUGAGAAGUACUAAUAGGUCGAGGACUUAUCCUU
RNAcentral lists this ribosomal RNA (75 nucleotides) under Coprococcus sp. CAG:131-related_45_246. Its description in RNAcentral is "partial 23S ribosomal RNA". Lineage: Bacteria; Bacillati; Bacillota; Clostridia; Lachnospirales; Lachnospiraceae. The record is from RNAcentral.